RNAcentral lists this ribosomal RNA (468 nucleotides) under uncultured bacterium. RNAcentral's name for it is "partial 16S ribosomal RNA". It matches the Rfam family "Bacterial small subunit ribosomal RNA", at positions 28 to 507 of the family's 1533-position model. The record is from RNAcentral.
GACGAACGCUGGCGGCGUGCUUAACACAUGCAAGUCGAACGGAAAGGCCCUGCUUUUGUGGUGUGCUCGAGUGGCGAACGGGUGAGUAACACGUGAGUAACCUGCUCUCGACUUUGGGAUAACUUCAGGAAACUGGGGCUAAUACCGGAUAGGAGCUCCUGCUGCAUGGUGGGGGUUGGAAAGUUUCGGCGGUUGGGGAUGGACUCGCGGCUUAUCAGCUUGUUGGUGGGGUAGUGGCUUACCAAGGCGUUGACGGGUAGCCGACCUUAGAGGGGAACCGCGCACAUGGGGACUGAGAUACGGCGCAGACUGGUACGGGAGGCAGCAGUGGGGAAUAUGGCACAAUGGGCGGAAGCGUAAUGCAGCAACGCCGCGUGCGGGAAGACGGCCUUCGGGGUGUAAACCGCUUUCGCCUGUGACGAAGCGUGAGUGACGGUAAUGGGUAAAGAAGCACCGGCUAACUACGUG